RNAcentral lists this ribosomal RNA (492 nucleotides) under uncultured bacterium. RNAcentral describes it as "partial 16S ribosomal RNA". It matches the Rfam family "Bacterial small subunit ribosomal RNA", at positions 29 to 507 of the family's 1533-position model. The record is from RNAcentral.
AGUGAACGCUGGCGGUAGGCCUAACACAUGCAAGUCGAACGGCAGCACAGUAAGAGCUUGCUCUUACGGGUGGCGAGUGGCGGACGGGUGAGGAAUACAUCGGAAUCUACUUUUUCGUGGGGGAUAACGUAGGGAAACUUACGCUAAUACCGCAUACGACCUACGGGUGAAAGCAGGGGAUCUUCGGACCUUGCGCGAUUGAAUGAGCCGAUGUCGGAUUAGCUAGUUGGCGGGGUAAAGGCCCACCAAGGCGACGAUCCGUAGCUGGUCUGAGAGGAUGAUCAGCGACACUGGAACUGAGACACGGUCCAGACUCCUACGGGAGGCAGCAGUGGGGAAUAUUGGACAAUAGGCGCAAGCCUGAUCCAGCCAUACCGCGUGAGUGAAGAAGACCUUCGGGUUGUAAAGCCCUUUUGUUGGGAAAGAAAAGCAGCAGGUUAAUACCCCGCUGUUCUGACGGUACCCAAAGAAUAAGCACCGGCUAACUUCGUG